AUUGAACGCUAGCGGCAGGCUUAACACAUGCAAGUCGAACGAGUCGCGGAAGGGUGAGUUAUGCAUGGGAACCUUGCUGAUGGAUGGGGAUGACUAAGGGAAACUGUAGCUAAUACCGCCUAGCACAGGCGGAGCCCAAGUGGGAUUAUGUAGUUGGGGCGGUAAAGCCUCACCAAGCCGACGAGCUCUAGCGGGUCUGAGAGGAUGACCAGCCACACGGGGACUGAGACACGGCCCAGACUCCUACGGGAGGCAGCAGUGGGGAAUAUUGCGCAAUGGGGGCAACCUGACGCAGCCAUGCCGCGUGAGUGAAGAAGGCCUUCGGGUUGUAAAGUACUUUCGGUAGGGAGGCGUUAACUACAGAAGAAGCACCGGCUAACUCCGUGCCAGCAGCCGCGGUAAUAC
RNAcentral lists this ribosomal RNA (405 nucleotides) under uncultured bacterium. RNAcentral describes it as "partial 16S ribosomal RNA". It matches the Rfam family "Bacterial small subunit ribosomal RNA", at positions 30 to 526 of the family's 1533-position model. The record is from RNAcentral.